AUGCAGCUACAACUGACCGCACGCGCUCCAAGUAUUUACAUCUUGUAGAUGAACGCGCCGCCACGUGGCUUCGACUUUCCUCGUUUUCCUCGCGCUGUGCGGCACCUCGGUGCUUCCUGUUACACGGAACAACUGUGCCACAGCACAUCCCACUAGCGUAACUUCACACACAUGAUCGACGCAACUGAUUUCCAUCUCCUCACAUUCACCGCAGACAACUACAUUUAAUCUCCAGGGGCAGUACAUUUGCAGUGCUUAUCUCCAUGUUUACAGAUGACCACAGAGAUAACGUGGAAGACGUUGCCCAACAAUCACCAUGAAAGUUCGGCGUAGCGGCAAGUGGGCAAGGAAUAAAACGAAUGCUGCAAACUACCGCGAGCUAUGGAAGAGCCUGGGCCGCGAGGGUGUCGAGCUUCCUAGGUCAUCAAAGGAAGAGAUUGUCUGCUUUCUCUUUGUAAACAGAUCGAUCGAGUCUUGAAAGGUUCAUGUAAAACGUGUAGGCGGGUGACACAUUAGGUGGGACCCGAUGCCUGUAAUACUUCCACAGUUAUUAAAAAGGUGUUAAACAGCAAAACCAAUAGUUCAUCAUUUAUAUAGAUAAAAAGUAGCACUCAGGGGACAUCGACAACAUUCAACAGCUUUCCACGUGACCUACGGUACCAGAUCACUGCACAUC
Schistocerca nitens (vagrant locust) is the source of this 676-nucleotide long non-coding RNA. RefSeq lists it as uncharacterized. The transcript has 3 exons. NCBI's taxonomy places the organism in Eukaryota, Metazoa, Arthropoda, Insecta, Orthoptera, Acrididae. The record is from RefSeq and is a predicted model, not a curated record.